ACACGACUACGAAGUUUGAUCCUGGCUCAGAAUCAACGCUGGCGGCGUGCCUCAGACAUGCAAGUCGAACGAUUAAAGCUCUCUUCGGAGAGUGUAUAGAGUGGCGCACGGGUGAGUAACACGUAAGUAAUCUACCCUCGAGUGGGGAAUAACAACCGGAAACGGUUGCUAAUACCGCAUAAUGCAGCGGCACCGCAAGGUGACAGUUGUUAAAGAUUUAUCGCUUGAGGAGGAGCUUGCGGCAGAUUAGCUAGUUGGUAGGGUAACGGCUUACCAAGGCUACGAUCUGUAACCGGUCUAAGAGGACGGUCGGUCACACUGACACUGAAUAACGGGUCAGACUCCUACGGGAGGCAGCAGUCGGGAAUUUUGGGCAAUGGGCGAAAGCCUGACCCAGCAACGCCGCGUGAAGGAUGAAGUAUUUCGGUAUGUAAGCUUCGAAAGAAUAGGAAGAAUUAAUGACGGUACUAUUUAUAAGGUCCGGCUAACUACGUG
RNAcentral lists this ribosomal RNA (495 nucleotides) under uncultured bacterium. Its description in RNAcentral is "bacterial SSU rRNA". It matches the Rfam family "Bacterial small subunit ribosomal RNA", at positions 1 to 507 of the family's 1533-position model. The record is from RNAcentral.